ACCUACGGGGCGCAGCAGUAGGGAAUCUUCCACAAUGGGCGAAAGCCUGAUGGAGCAACGCCGCGUGGGUGAAGAAGGUCUUCGGAUCGUAAAACCCUGUUGUUAGAGAAGAAAGUGCGUGAGAGUAACUGUUCGCGUUUCGACGGUAUCUAACCAGAAAGCCACGGCUAACUACGUGCCAGCAGCCGCGGUAAUACGUAGGUGGCAAGCGUUAUCCGGAUUUAUUGGGCGUAAAGGGAACGCAGGCGAUCUUUUAAGUCUGAUGUGAAAGCCUUCGGCUUAACCGGAGUAGUGCAUUGGAAACU
Molecule: ribosomal RNA, 305 nt
Filed under: uncultured bacterium
Lineage: Bacteria
Description: bacterial SSU rRNA
Rfam family: Bacterial small subunit ribosomal RNA
Source: RNAcentral